This 6402-nucleotide long non-coding RNA is filed under the name Solanum tuberosum (potato). RNAcentral's name for it is "long non-coding RNA (STUB_LNC007950)". The record is from RNAcentral. Lineage: Eukaryota; Viridiplantae; Streptophyta; Magnoliopsida; Solanales; Solanaceae.
GUCCAUUUGCAUUUCUCGAAUAGGUGAACAUUAGUCUCCAUUACUUUCUCAUCACAUAAACAACAUUCAGUGUCAUCAACCUGAAUAUUCAAUCUCAGCUUUCUCUCCUGUGUAAGAUUUCUAUUUCACUAGAGUAUUAUAUUAUUAAAAGAAUUAAUUAUUGAACAUAAAUUUGCUUCAUAGUCAAAGCACACCAGUAAAAAAGAGUUGGUAUCAAUGAAAACAAAAUUAUGACAUGAGAGAUUAGUACACUUGACUUGAACACAAGUUUCAAAAUAAACCAUGAAGAGAAAACAAAUAAAUAAUUAGCCAUCUUUAUAAUUCUAUACACAAAAUGGAGAUGAAAGUGUAGGUCAGAAAGACCACAGAUUACAGAACUAUGAUCACCAGUCAUCUUUCCUUCUCCGUUGGAUGGCAUUUUAGUUCACUUUUCUCCAUUCUUUUUACACACCUUAUCUCAGAAUCUCCCAUCAAAUUUAACUCUGUGUGUGUGGCGUACCUAGAAUCUAACAACAUCUUUUGACUAAAUACCAUCCUAAAUUACCCCUACAUUUAUACAGUGUGCUAUUGGAAGUUACUCACUUUAGGAAACAUGAAGUUCUUAUCUUUAAUCUAUCACUUACUUGGUUGUUUAAGUUAUUUUUAUUUUAUUGCACGGAGAGUUACUUACAUUUUGAAAAAUGUUGUUCUAAGCUUUUAACAAUUAUUUAUUUGGCGUUCACACUUUGUGAGUGCUCUCUUCAAAACGUGGAAAAAAUAUAUCCUAAAUAGCUUCUACGACAAUCGCAGUAAUGCAUCAAACAAUGACACUGUAGUUUAUCUGAAUUACUCACCUAAUCAAUUAAGAUCUUGACACACUUUCUACAGAUCUUUUAAGAUCCUAGAUGAAACAUAAGUAUCUUUAAAGUUAUAGCUCGCUAAUUACUAUUUUUUGCACUCAGUUUUAGAAUUCUUUAGUUGACGAUUGGUGUUUACUUGAUUUUUGAAGGUAUUUCAAAACAUCUCCCUGUUAUGUGUUUCCGGGAUAGCAAAGGUUGGCUACUAAGCUAGGUAUUGUAUCUCCAACACAAUUGAAAUGAUAGAUCAAGUUAGCUCUGCAAUAUUUACUAAAACUGUAAGUUCUUGAAAUCUUUUGGAUAUCUUUCAUCUUAAAUAUCAGUAGAUUUUCUUAAAUAUUUGUUCAAGGUUCUUCAUUCCUCCAACUGGCCGUGGUUUAGUGUUUAUGUGAUUAUACUUGUUGUCAUUGUUACAGUUCCUUACAUAUAUGCUCCGCAUUAUUUUGUUAAAAGUGUAGAUAGGUAAUAUAAUUAUUCUACAUCACUAUAGUGUAAGAGUAAGUAUGCUAACCAAAAGGGCACUGUGUGUAAUUGCAUCAGGGGCGUAAUAAUAAAAAUUUCUAUUAAUUCUAUUGUAUAGAAACAUGAAGAGCUAGGACGACCAAUGGCAUAACCAUAAAUAUACUCAAUAUUGAAGGGUAAUAUGGUCAUUAUACAACACUAAUUUUUUAGCAAUUAACAUGCGCCUCUUCUAUUUUCCUUCUAGAACAUUCUCUCUCUUCCUUCCAUGUUGCAAUUAAGAGAUGACUCAAGAAAAAGAAUUGGUAAAUUGAUCGGAUCUUUCCUAAACCUCCUCUCUCUAGACCUAAUAUGUGAUCUAUCUAUUUCAUAGACUUCUCUUGUGAUGCUACUAAAGCAGGAAUGGGUGGUGUAAAUGGUUUAAUUAUCGGUAUAUAUAAUCGGUUUAUACACAUAGGUAGCUUUAUGAACUUUAAAAAGGAUAUCUAGAAGGAUUGUAACAUGUCAUAUUCUACAAUUCUGAAGAGUAAGCAUGAUGAAUCUUUCUGAUUGAUAAAAAUGGCCUCGAGAGGGAUUGUAACAUGUCAUAUUUUUACAAUUGUGAAGAAUAAGCAUAUGUUGGAAUAUGAAUUUCAUAAAUUGUUGUUUCUUUCUGAUGAAUGUAGUAUAAUUGGUGCAGGUGAUUGACGGUUUAGUUCCAUUAACAGAGAUGUUCAAUUGCGUUAGUAAAACUUGAAAGGGAAUGACAAAGGAGCAUGCAUCGUACAUUAUGCAAUUAGGCAAGUUUGAUGUUGUCCCUCAACACAUUCAAAUCAGCUUGCCAAAAAGGAAGAAGCAGCAGUUGUUUAGUCAGUCAGCUUUCAAAUUUGGAUCCACGAACUUAAAAAUAGGUAUUUUUACUCAAUGAAGGGACUGCUCUUUGACAUCAUCUUGUCUUUUGGUGUUGCAAUUUCAGUUUGAUCUUUUAUCUUAAUUUUAGCCAUUAUUUUAAGAUUCUCUUUACAUUUUCCAACAUGGUUGAAGCGGUUAUAUUUUGACUAGCUUUCACUGCCAUAAAUUUCAUAGAGGCAAGUCAACAUGCCGGUUUUAUACUGAUUUGUUGUGAAUUUCAACCUCUUACUUGUUCUCCUAUGCUUGGUGGUUAAUUUCUUUAAAUUUUUUUACUCAACGGUUAGUCUCCCGUGGUUUCCACUCCAAGUCCACCAAUCCAACGUAAACUUGCCAACAUCGUAUUUCAUGAAACUUGUGUGCACUUACCAAACUACCCUGCCCCUUCGCCCUCAACCAUUAGCUCCCACGCCUAAUAACAAGGACAUCAUAGUAAAAUCACUUUGUUACCGUAAUCGAACAGACCCCAUAGAAUAUAGUUGGACUGGUUAUUUUUUUCUUUAACUUCUUUAAUAAUAAUUAAGAAUCUACGUUAACACUUGACUAAUAGUAUAUGAGUUCCCUCUGUUCUUUUUUCCAUCAUAAAGUUUAAUUUUUCUUUGUUGUUUCUAAAUUAAAACUUGUAUUCUUUUAAUUCCAAUCUUUUAACCUUUUAGGUGAACCAAGAAAAGAAAAAAUGUUGGAUGCAUAAAAGAAUAACAAGUUUUAUUCCCAAUGGUAAGAGUGACAAUUUGUUAGGGUUGGUUUUUUUUUUCCAUAAAUAUUUUUCAGAAUGUAGAAAAUUAUUUUUCUUGUUAAUUUUGCUUAUGUUGUGGGAAUUUUCUGAUAUAACAAGAGUCUACAAUCAGGCAGACGAAAACUCAAAUCGAAAUGAUCAGGAAGUAGAGAUAUGCAAUGUAGAAAUAUUUGAAGAAUGAUAUAACUGGCGUCUUAAAAUAUGGAUUGGAUGUCAACCCCUGCCACAGGGUAAUUUUCUUUUGUUGGAAUUGAUCCAUCUAUAUAUUCUGUUAUUCUAUCACUUAGUUUUAUUUUAUAUGGCCUCUUUCUUUAUACUGAUUUGUUGUGAGUUUUAGUUUUAUUUUAUAUGGCCUGUUUCUUUAUACUGAUUUGUUUGAGUUUCAACCUCUUACGUGUUCUCCUAUUCUUUGGUGGUUAAUUCCAUUAGUUUUUUUGUAUGUGCAUGUUAGUUCGUGCACAUAUCUUUUCUUCUACUUGAUUUUCCUAAAACCAAAUACACGCUAUCACUAAGAAUAAUGGUCUAUUGAGUUCUCUUCCUCUCAAUGCAACUGCAUUGCUUUGGCUAAUUUAUAUGAGCUUAAGGAAAAAGAAAAUGUAGAGUGAAUUUUUUAAAAAGAAAAUGUAGAGUGAUUUUUUUUUCUUUCUUUCUUUUCGGUGAUUACUAAGAAAGGCUAAUGAUCUAAAUUUAUGCAUUCUCUAAGUUGGUCUUUUUCAUAAGCACCAUGCCAAGUCAAAAAGGGCCACAUAAAAUAGGAUAGAUGGAGUAUAAUUUUUUUUUAAAUGUACUUCCUAUCAUAAAUAGUUAUUUUUGUAAUGAAAAAAUUAACAUAAAAUGUAUUCUUGAUAAAAAUAUUAGCCCCCCCCCCCUCCCCCUAAAAUUGAGGGCCCAAGGCAUGUGCUUACUUUUUAUAGCAUAGAGUUUACCAUGUGUUGCAAUUCUCAAGCCUUAAUUAGCUCUUGAAGAAGGUUAGCAACCACAUAUAUCUUCCUUCUCAGAAAUAUUUAUGCACAAAUAUACUUAUAUACGUGCAAGAUGUUUUAACAGUAAAUAUUGAAAUAUAGCGCAAGACUCUUCUCAUAUGAGCCAGACAUGUUUCAAUAUUCUAUGUGCUAAGAGGAUUCUUCCAUGAUUGUGAUUUUGAAUUUUGCAAUGUGAAUGACAGGAAUACUUUCUUGAAUCUAUUUCCUUAGGGCAUUGAGUGAAGGUUGUUCCUUUCAAAUUCACAUAUAACUUGGUAUAUGUUAAUUCUUUGUGGUUAUCUUCAGUAUUUUAUUUUAAAUUGACAUAUAACUUGUAAUAUGCUGGUUCUUUGUGAUUGUCUUCACUAUUUUAUUUUUACUUUUGCUUUAAGUGCUACUAUUUUUAUGAACAGUUGUUAUUUCGGAACUUUUAUUCCUUUCCUUGAGAUAUUAAAGCUGGAGUAUAUAGUUCGUGCUGAGUGAAGGAAAUUUUGCAUCUUAUCAAGACAAUUGCAAACACUCGAGGCAUCAAUGGAUUUAUGAAACGGAAUUUUAUUACUCUACAUGCAGCUCCAUUUAAGGAUACCAACUUCUAUUCUUUUGAAAAAUACAGAGAGCAUCUACUCAAAUUUACUACUAAUGAUUCAAGGCAUCACUAGAUUUUGUAAAAUGAAUUUUGUCAUAUUCUAUGAUUAGCUCUAUGUAAGUCUAUCCACUUCUAUUUUCUUAUGAUAAAUAUUGAAAAGUAUUUAGAAGAUAGUUGUCUGCAAUGUAAAGUUAUUUGUGGAAAGGGAGAAAUUAGUUGUAUUAUUGCACUUUGAAGUUCAUUUGUAUAACUUAUGCAAUGAUCUAUUAGCUUUUACAAUAUAUACUCUUAUCCGAGUAACUAUGCAAAGUACAUACCACUUGAAAAUGCUAAAUGUUGGGCCCGUGUAAGCACGGGCUAUAUCCAUCUAGUCUAUCUAUUAUAUAGAAACGUGAUGAGAGGACGACCACUGGCAAUACCGUAAUUAUACUCAUUUUUAAGGGUAAAAUGUAAUACAGCUGUUUUUAAGAAAAUUAGAAGCACUCCUUUCUUUUCACUUUAGAUAUUUUUUGUUUUUCUUAUUCUUUCUUAUGUUACUACUAGAUAAUGUGGCCCGUGCUAUAAUAUAAAUGGUAUGUUUUGGGGCUAAUAAUCGAGUUUUUGAAGCGAUUGUUUGCGUGGAUAAAGGAAUUAAGUUUUUUUUUAUCACAAACCUGUACUUUCUUUGACACUAUUUAAGGCAUAAUAAGACUACCCACAUACAACAUUUUUGAAAUAUUUUAUGUUGUCAAUUAUCAUGAUUUAUAGUAUUUUUACGAUAGAUUCACUUCAAGAAUCAGUGGAAUUUUUUGUAUUUUUUUCAAAACAUAUUUUAUAUUGUCAAUUAUCAAGAUUUAUAGUAUUUUUACGCAAUUUUUAAAUAUAAAAAUAAANNNNNNNNNNNNNNNNNNNNNNNNNNNNNNNNNNNNNNNNNNNNNNNNNNNNNNNNNNNNNNNNNNNNNNNNNNNNNNNNNNNNNNNNNNNNNNNNNNNNNNNNNNNNNNNNNNNNNNNNNNNNNNNNNNNNNNNNNNNNNNNNNNNNNNNNNNNNNNNNNNNNNNNNNNNAAGGUUAGCAAAAAAAUAUAUCUUCCUUCUCAGAAAUAUUUAUGCACAAAUAUACUUAUAUACGUGCAAGAUGUUUUAACAGUAAAUAUUGAAAUAUAGCGCAAGACUCUUCUCAUAUGAGCCAGACAUGUUUCAAUAUUCUAUGUGCUAAGAGGAUUCUUCCAUGAUUGUGAUUUUGAAUUUUGCAAUGUGAAUGACAGGAAUACUUUCUUGAAUCUAUUUCCUUAGGGCAUUGAGUGAAGGUUGUUCCUUUCAAAUUCACAUAUAACUUGGUAUAUGUUAAUUCUUUGUGGUUAUCUUCAGUAUUUUAUUUUAAAUUGACAUAUAACUUGUAAUAUGCUGGUUCUUUGUGAUUGUCUUCACUAUUUUAUUUUUACUUUUGCUUUAAGUGCUACUAUUUUUAUGAACAGUUGUUAUUUCGGAACUUUUAUUCCUUUCCUUGAGAUAUUAAAGCUGGAGUAUAUAGUUCGUGCUGAGUGAAGGAAAUUUUGCAUCUUAUCAAGACAAUUGCAAACACUCGAGGCAUCAAUGGAUUUAUGAAACGGAAUUUUAUUACUCUACAUGCAGCUCCAUUUAAGGAUACCAACUUCUAUUCUUUUGAAAAAUACAGAGAGCAUCUACUCAAAUUUACUACUAAUGAUUCAAGGCAUCACUAGAUUUUGUAAAAUGAAUUUUGUCAUAUUCUAUGAUUAGCUCUAUGUAAGUCUAUCCACUUCUAUUUUCUUAUGAUAAAUAUUGAAAAGUAUUUAGAAGAUAGUUGUCUGCAAUGUAAAGUUAUUUGUGGAAAGGGAGAAAUUAGUUGUAUUAUUGCACUUUGAAGUUCAUUUGUAUAACUUAUGCAAUGAUCUAUUAGCUUUUACAAUAUAUACUCUUAUCCGAGUAACUAUGCAAA